GACUGUGACAUCAUGAUGGCAGGAAGGAAGCUGUCACAAGCAUGGCCAGCCUGCCUGUCUUCAUCUUCUGCAUCUUCCUGAGCUGCUCCCCCAGUCAUGCUUACCUCCAAGAUUUCUCAAUAUUAAUAAAUAACUGUCCAGCCUCGUGGGGAGAUGAUGACCACAUAUGUGGUGCAACAUCCUGCAGCAACUGGAAGGGGCCCUGGGCCAGCCAGCAGACAACAUAUUUGGGUGGCAGAUAGAGUGGAGGGGGCAGGGCUCUGGGGAUGCCCUAACUGCUGCUCCUGCUGCUGCUGCUGCUGCUGCUGCUGCUGCUGCUGUUACAGGCUGGAAUGCGAUGGCACGAUCUCAGCUCACUGCAACCUCCGCCUCCUGGAUCCAAGCGAUUCUCCUGCCUCAGCCUCCUGAGAAGCUGGGAUCACAAGCAUGUGCCACCAUUCCCCGUGUUUCCCAUCCAGUACUCAGAACUUACUGAGUUCCCUGAGUUCAGAGGCCACCUUCCUCCUCAACACACAUGGUACGUUCCUUCAUCACUUCCCCCAUCAGAACAGUAAGUUGCUUCAGGAGUGGGGAUUUUUCUCUUGUGGGACUUCGAGUGCCCGGAAUCUGUGCUUCUAUGAAACCCCUGCAGUGUGCCCAGCGCUGAGCCAGCGAUCAUCAAAAGUGUGACCCUUGGGAUUACUGUGCUGACGAGGGUGGAAGGAAUCACUCAUUCAACGAUCGGGGAAGUAUGCACUGGAUUCAACCAUUCUUGAGAGAAAUUUGGAAGCAUUUGUCAAAAUCAUUAAAAAUGUAUAUACAUUAAACUUUUACAUUCUUCAUUUGA
Long non-coding RNA from Callithrix jacchus (white-tufted-ear marmoset), 826 nucleotides. RefSeq lists it as uncharacterized. The record is from RefSeq and is a predicted model, not a curated record. NCBI's taxonomy places the organism in Eukaryota, Metazoa, Chordata, Mammalia, Primates, Cebidae.